AACCUGGUUGAUCCUGCCAGUAGUUAUAUGCUUGUCUCAAAGGUUAAGCCAUGCAUGUCUCAGUAUGAGUGCUUCUACGGCGAAACUGCGAAUGGCUCAUUAAAUCAGUUACGGUUUAUUUGAUGACUUGUGACACGGAUAACUGGGGAAAUUCUUCAGCCAAUACGUGCUUCUAAGCCGACUUUGUGGAAGGUGAGUAUUUGCUCGAUUCUGAACCAACCCAGAUCUUCUGGGCUUUAAGUUGAGCGGAGAGUAAAUCUGUCCAAUCGCAUUGCACCGCGAUGCGAUGCAUCAUUCAAGUUUCUGACCUAUCAGCUUCCGAUUGUAGGGUAUUGGCUUACCAUGGCGAUGACGGGUAACAGCGAAUUUGGGUUCAGUUCUGGAGAGGGAGCCUGAGAAACGGCUACCACAUCUAAGGAAGGCAGCAGGCGCGUAACUUACCCAAUUCUGACACGGAGAGGUAGUGACAAGAAAUAACGAUACAGGGCAUUCAUGUCUUGUACUUGGGCUGAGUAGAAUGUAACGACUCUAUGAGUAUCAAUGGGAGGGCAGUCUGNGCCGCAGCGCGGUACUCAGCUCANAGCGUAUAUGAGUGUGCGUAAAAGCUCGUCGUGGAUUCUGUGAGUCGACAGUGCG
This 636-nucleotide ribosomal RNA is filed under the name uncultured marine eukaryote. RNAcentral's name for it is "SSU rRNA". It matches the Rfam family "Eukaryotic small subunit ribosomal RNA", at positions 1 to 657 of the family's 1831-position model. The record is from RNAcentral.